This 345-nucleotide ribosomal RNA is filed under the name uncultured bacterium. RNAcentral's name for it is "partial 16S ribosomal RNA". It matches the Rfam family "Bacterial small subunit ribosomal RNA", at positions 338 to 675 of the family's 1533-position model. The record is from RNAcentral.
CCUACGGGAGGCAGCAGUGGGGAAUAUUGCGCAAUGGACGAAAGUCUGACGCAGCGACGCCGCGUGAGGGAUGAAGGUUUUCGGAUCGUAAACCUCUGUCAGGAGGGAAGAAAGCGCAGGGCGCCAAGCAGCCAUGCGUGGACGGUACCACCAAAGGAAGCGCCGGCUAACUCCGUGCCAGCAGCCGCGGUAAUCCGGAGGGCGCGAGCGUUAAUCGGAAUUACGGGGCGUAAAGCGCGCGUAGGCUGUUGGGUAAGUUGGGGGUGAACUCCCACGGCUCAACCGUGGAACCGCCCUUGAUACUUCGCGCCUUGACUCCGGGAGAGGGUGGCGUCCUUCCAGGUG